GCUCGAGUGGCGAACGGGUGAGUAACACGUGAGUAACCUGCCCUUGACUUUGGGAUAACUUCAGGAAACUGGGGCUAAUACCGGAUAGGAGCUCCUGCUGCAUGGUGGGGGUUGGAAAGUUUCGGCGGUUGGGGAUGGACUCGCGGCUAUCAGCUUGUUGGUGGGGUAGUGGCUACCAAGGCGUGACGGGUAGCCGGCCUGAGAGGGUGACCGGCCACAUUGGGACUGAGAUACGGCCCAG
Molecule: ribosomal RNA, 241 nt
Filed under: uncultured Actinomycetales bacterium
Lineage: Bacteria; Bacillati; Actinomycetota; Actinomycetes; Actinomycetales
Description: partial 16S ribosomal RNA
Rfam family: Bacterial small subunit ribosomal RNA
Source: RNAcentral